RNAcentral lists this ribosomal RNA (835 nucleotides) under uncultured bacterium. RNAcentral's name for it is "bacterial SSU rRNA". It matches the Rfam family "Bacterial small subunit ribosomal RNA", at positions 8 to 796 of the family's 1533-position model. The record is from RNAcentral.
AGAGUUUGAUCAUGGCUCAGGAUGAACGCUGGCGGUGUGCCUAAUACAUGCAAGUCGAGCGGUAAGGCUUUCACAGAUUAUUUAACCGGAAAAGUCCUUUGGGAUACUAUCCGUAACCGGAGUUUACUGGCUAGUAAGCACCAGUUGAAUGAUGUGUGAAAGUACACGAGCGGCGGACGGCAGAGUAACACGUAGGAACGUACCCCAAACAGAGGGAUAGGCACCGGAAACGGUGUCUAAUACCGCAUAAUAUCUUCGGAUUAAAGCUUCGGCGGUUUGGGAGCGGCCUGCGCAUGAUUAGCUAGUUGGUAAGGUAAUGGCUUACCAAGGCGACGAUCAUUAGCUGGUCUGAGAGGAUGAUCAGCCUGACUGGAACUGAGAACGGUCCAGACUCCUACGGGAGGCAGCAGUAGGGAAUUUUCCGCAAUGGGCGAAAGCCUGACGGAGCAACACCGCGUGCAGGAGGAAGGCCUUCGGGUCGUAAACUGCUUUUAUCUGUGACGAUUAUGACGGUAGCAGAAGAAUAAGGAUCGGCUAAUUCCGUGCCAGCAGCCGCGGUCAUACGGAAGAUCCGAGCGUUAUCCGGAAUUACUGGGCGUAAAGAGUUGCGUAGGUGGCAUGUAAAGCGAGUAGUGAAAGAUCCCGGCUCAACCGGGGGCACAUUAUUCGAACUCACAAGCUAGAGCAUGAGAGAGGUAGAUGGAAUUUCUAGUGUAGGAGUGAAAUCCGUAGAUAUUAGAAGGAACACCGAUGGCGUAGGCAGUCUACUGGCUCAUUGCUGACACUAAGGCACGAAAGCGUGGGGAGCGAACGGGAUUAGAUACCCUAGUAGUCC